AGGAUUAUAGUUUAAUAAAAACAUUAGGUUUGCUACCAUAAAAUAUUGACUUAUCAAUUUAUCUUA
This 66-nucleotide transfer RNA is filed under the name Rhodoneura mellea. Its description in RNAcentral is "tRNA-Ala". The record is from RNAcentral. Lineage: Eukaryota; Metazoa; Arthropoda; Insecta; Lepidoptera; Thyrididae.